CGAGCGGAAACGACAACAUUGAAUCUUCGGAGGAUUUGUUGGGCGUCGAGCGGCGGACGGGUGAGUAACGCCUAGGAAAUUGCCUUGAUGUGGGGGAUAACCAUUGGAAACGAUGGCUAAUACCGCAUAAUGCCUACGGGCCAAAGAGGGGGAUCUUCGGACCUCUCGCGUCAAGAUAUGCCUAGGUGGGAUUAGCUAGUUGGUGAGGUAAUGGCUCACCAAGGCGACGAUCCCUAGCUGGUCUGAGAGGAUGAUCAGCCACACUGGAACUGAGACACGGUCCAGACUCCUACGGGAGGCAGCAGUGGGGAAUAUUGCACAAUGGGCGAAAGCCUGAUGCAGCCAUGCCGCGUGUAUGAAGAAGGCCUUCGGGUUGUAAAGUACUUUCAGUUGUGAGGAA
Molecule: ribosomal RNA, 400 nt
Filed under: uncultured Vibrio sp.
Lineage: Bacteria; Pseudomonadati; Pseudomonadota; Gammaproteobacteria; Vibrionales; Vibrionaceae
Description: bacterial SSU rRNA
Rfam family: Bacterial small subunit ribosomal RNA
Source: RNAcentral